AGGUUAGUGCCCGAGUGGUUAAUGGGAGCAGACUGUAAAUUUGCUGGUGAGACCUACGUUGGUUCAAAUCCAACCUAACCUA
Molecule: transfer RNA, 82 nt
Filed under: Leachiella pacifica
Lineage: Eukaryota; Rhodophyta; Florideophyceae; Gigartinales; Choreocolacaceae
Description: tRNA-Tyr
Rfam family: tRNA
About the family: Transfer RNA (tRNA) molecules are approximately 80 nucleotides in length. Their secondary structure includes four short double-helical elements and three loops (D, anti-codon, and T loops). Further hydrogen bonds mediate the characteristic L-shaped molecular structure. tRNAs have two regions of fundamental functional importance: the anti-codon, which is responsible for specific mRNA codon recognition, and the 3' end, to which the tRNAs corresponding amino acid is attached (by aminoacyl-tRNA synthetases). tRNAs cope with the degeneracy of the genetic code in two manners: having more than one tRNA (with a specific anti-codon) for a particular amino acid; and 'wobble' base-pairing, i.e. permitting non-standard base-pairing at the 3rd anti-codon position.
Source: RNAcentral